This 482-nucleotide ribosomal RNA is filed under the name uncultured bacterium. Its description in RNAcentral is "bacterial SSU rRNA". It matches the Rfam family "Bacterial small subunit ribosomal RNA", at positions 8 to 518 of the family's 1533-position model. The record is from RNAcentral.
AGAGUUUGAUUCUGGCUCAGAACGAACGCUGCGGCAUGGAUUAGGCAUGCAAGUCGAACGAAGUAGCAAUACUUAGUGGCGCAAGGGUGAGGAACGCGUGAGUGACUUACCCGCAAGUUUGGAACAGCUCCUGGAAACGGGAAUUAAUACCGGAUGUGAUCAACGGGCUGCAUGGUUUGUUGAUUAAAGCAGUAAUGCGCUUGCGGAUGGGCUCGCGUCCCAUUAGCUAGUUGGUGAGGUAACGGCCCACCAAGGCCAUGAUGGGUAGCUGGUCUGAGAGGACGACCAGCCACACUGGGACUGAGAACUGCCCAGACUCCUACGGGAGGCUGCAGUCGAGAAUUUUGGGCAAUGGACGAAAGUCUGACCCAGCAAUGCCGCGUGCGGGAUGAAGGUCUUCGGAUUGUAAACCGCUGUUUGGAGGGACGAAAUUUGACGGUACUUCCAGAGAAAGCCACGGCUAACUACGUGCCAGCCGCAGC